GCAGCUCAGUUGGGAGCGCAUGAGACUCUGAGUCUCAGGGACGUGGGUUCAAGUCUCACACUGGGCA
Molecule: non-coding RNA, 67 nt
Organism: Podarcis lilfordi (Lilford's wall lizard)
Lineage: Eukaryota; Metazoa; Chordata; Lepidosauria; Squamata; Lacertidae
Source: the annotation of a GenBank genome assembly